This 498-nucleotide ribosomal RNA is filed under the name uncultured bacterium. RNAcentral's name for it is "partial 16S ribosomal RNA". It matches the Rfam family "Bacterial small subunit ribosomal RNA", at positions 28 to 523 of the family's 1533-position model. The record is from RNAcentral.
GAUGAACGCUAGCUACAGGCUUAACACAUGCAAGUCGAGGGGUAGCAGGGUAGCAAUACCGCUGACGACCGGCGCACGGGUGAGUAACACGUAUCCAACCUUCCCAUAACUCGGGGAUAGACUUUCGAAAGAAAGAUUAAUACCCGAUAGUACUUAAGAAAGGCAUCUUUGUUAAGUUAAAGAUUUAUGGGUUAUGGACGGGGAUGCGUUCCAUUAGAGAGUUGGUGAGGUAACGGCUCACCAAGUCUUCGAUGGAUAGGGGUUCUGAGAGGAAGGUCCCCCACAUUGGUACUGAGACACGGACCAAACUCCUACGGGAGGCAGCAGUGAGGAAUAUUGGUCAAUGGGCGAGGGCCUGAACCAGCCAAGUAGCGUGAAGGAUGAAGGUCCUAUGGAUUGUAAACUUCUUUUAUAGUAGAAUAAAGUGACCCACGUGUGGAUUUUUGUAUGUAUACUAUGAAUAAGGAUCGGCUAACUCCGUGCCAGCCGCCGCCGUAA